This 127-nucleotide small RNA is filed under the name Marmota monax (woodchuck). Lineage: Eukaryota; Metazoa; Chordata; Mammalia; Rodentia; Sciuridae. The record is from RNAcentral.
GCUAGGUACGGAGGCACAUGCCUGUAAUCCCAGCGGCUGAGGAGGCUGAGGCAGGAGGAUCAUAAGUUCAAAGCCAGCCUCAGGAACUGAGCUAAGUCCUAAGCAACACAGUGAGACCCUGUCUCUA